AACCCUGAAGGUUAGGAAAAAGUUUAUCAACCAUGAAGGUUGAAAAAAGGUUCAUCAACCGUGAAGGUUGGAACAAAAGGUUAUCAACCAGGAAGGUUGAAAAAAGGUUCACCAGCCAUGAAGGUUGGAAACAAAAGAUUAUCAACCAUGAAGGUUGAAAUAAGAUUUAUCAACCAUGAAGGUUGAAAUAAGAUUUAUCAACCAUGAAGGAUGAAAUAAGAUUUUUGGAAACAAAAGGUCAUCAACCAUGAAGGUUGAAAAAAGAACCAUGAAGGUUGAAAUAAGAUUUAUCAACCAUGAAGGUUGAAAUAAGAUUUAUCAACCAUGAAGGAUGAAAUAAGAUUUUUGGAAACAAAAG
RNAcentral lists this long non-coding RNA (358 nucleotides) under Lathyrus oleraceus (garden pea). Its description in RNAcentral is "Pisum sativum (pea) long non-coding RNA (PSAT_LNC031023)". The record is from RNAcentral. Lineage: Eukaryota; Viridiplantae; Streptophyta; Magnoliopsida; Fabales; Fabaceae.